GACGAACGCUGGCGGCGUGCUUAACACAUGCAAGUCGAGCGGUAAGGCCCUUUCGGGGGUACACGAGCGGCGAACGGGUGAGUAACACGUGGGUGACCUGCCCUCAGCUCUGGGAUAAGCCUGGGAAACUGGGUCUAAUACUGGAUAUGACUCCACGGUGCAUGUCGUGGGGUGGAAAGCCUUGUGCGGCUGAGGAUGGGCCCGCGGCCUAUCAGCUUGUUGGUGGGGUGANGGCCUACCAAGGCGACGACGGGUAGCCGGCCUGAGAGGGCGACCGGCCACACUGGGACUGAGACUACGGCCCAGACUCCUACGGGAGGCAGCAGUGGGGAAUCUUGCGCAAUGGGCGAAAGCCUGACGCAGCGACGCCGCGUGAGGGAUAACGGCCUGU
Molecule: ribosomal RNA, 391 nt
Filed under: uncultured bacterium
Lineage: Bacteria
Description: bacterial SSU rRNA
Rfam family: Bacterial small subunit ribosomal RNA
Source: RNAcentral